This 823-nucleotide ribosomal RNA is filed under the name Microbacterium sp. PCA2-11_Pa. RNAcentral describes it as "bacterial SSU rRNA". It matches the Rfam family "Bacterial small subunit ribosomal RNA", at positions 61 to 892 of the family's 1533-position model. Lineage: Bacteria; Bacillati; Actinomycetota; Actinomycetes; Micrococcales; Microbacteriaceae. The record is from RNAcentral.
GUCGAACGGUGAACACGGAGCUUGCUCUGUGGGAUCAGUGGCGAACGGGUGAGUAACACGUGAGCAACCUGCCCCUGACUCUGGGAUAAGCGCUGGAAACGGCGUCUAAUACUGGAUACGAACCAUGAAGGCAUCUUCAGUGGUUGGAAAGAUUUAUUGGUUGGGGAUGGGCUCGCGGCCUAUCAGCUUGUUGGUGAGGUAAUGGCUCACCAAGGCGUCGACGGGUAGCCGGCCUGAGAGGGUGACCGGCCACACUGGGACUGAGACACGGCCCAGACUCCUACGGGAGGCAGCAGUGGGGAAUAUUGCACAAUGGGCGCAAGCCUGAUGCAGCAACGCCGCGUGAGGGAUGACGGCCUUCGGGUUGUAAACCUCUUUUAGCAGGGAAGAAGCGAAAGUGACGGUACCUGCAGAAAAAGCGCCGGCUAACUACGUGCCAGCAGCCGCGGUAAUACGUAGGGCGCAAGCGUUAUCCGGAAUUAUUGGGCGUAAAGAGCUCGUAGGCGGUUUGUCGCGUCUGCUGUGAAAUCCGGAGGCUCAACCUCCGGCCUGCAGUGGGUACGGGCAGACUAGAGUGCGGUAGGGGAGAUUGGAAUUCCUGGUGUAGCGGUGGAAUGCGCAGAUAUCAGGAGGAACACCGAUGGCGAAGGCAGAUCUCUGGGCCGUAACUGACGCUGAGGAGCGAAAGGGUGGGGAGCAAACAGGCUUAGAUACCCUGGUAGUCCACCCCGUAAACGUUGGGAACUAGUUGUGGGGUCCAUUCCACGGAUUCCGUGACGCAGCUAACGCAUUAAGUUCCCCGCCUGGGGAGUACGGCCGCAAG